GAUGAACGCUGGCGGCGUGCCUAAUACAUGCAAGUCGAGCGAACGGACGAGAAGCUUGCUUCUCUGAUGUUAGCGGCGGACGGGUGAGUAACACGUGGAUAACCUACCUAUAAGACUGGGAUAACUUCGGGAAACCGUAGCUAAUACCGGAUAAUAUUUUGAACCGCAUGGUUCAAAAGUGAAAGACGGUCUUGCUGUCACUUAUAGAUGGAUCCGCGCUGCAUUAGCUAGUUGGUAAGGUAACGGCUUACCAAGGCAACGAUGCAUAGCCGACCUGAGAGGGUGAUCGGCCACACUGGAACUGAGACACGGUCCAGACUCCUACGGGAGGCAGCAGUAGGGAAUCUUCCGCAAUGGGCGAAAGCCCGACGGAGCAACGCCGCGUGAGUGAUGAAGGUCUUCGGAGCGUAAAACUCUGUUAUUAGGGAAGAACAUAUGUGUAAGUAACUGUGCACAUCUUGACGGUACCUAAUCAGAAAGCCACGGCUAACUACGUG
Molecule: ribosomal RNA, 497 nt
Filed under: uncultured bacterium
Lineage: Bacteria
Description: partial 16S ribosomal RNA
Rfam family: Bacterial small subunit ribosomal RNA
Source: RNAcentral